GCCUGCUAGCCGCGGUAUUUUGACCGUGCAAAGGUAGCAUAAUCAUUAGUCUUUUAAUUGAAGGCUGGUAUGAACGGCAAGACGAGAAAUAAGCUGUCUUUGAAUUUCAUUUUUAAGUGAAAAAGCUUAAAUAAAUUUAGAGGACGAUCAGACCCUAUAGAGCUUUUUUGUUGGGGCGACAUAAAAGGAUCCUUAAAGAAAGAUUAAAAGAAUAAGUUACCUUAGGGAUAACAGCGUAAUUCUCUUGGAGAGUUCUUAUCGAUAAGAGAGUUUGCGACCUCGAUGUUGGAUUAAGAAAUUAGCGAGAUGCAGAAGUCUCGUUAAAAAGUCUGUUCGACUUUUAAAUUCUU
This 350-nucleotide ribosomal RNA is filed under the name Sida crystallina. RNAcentral's name for it is "partial 16S ribosomal RNA". It matches the Rfam family "Bacterial large subunit ribosomal RNA", at positions 1857 to 2597 of the family's 2925-position model. Lineage: Eukaryota; Metazoa; Arthropoda; Branchiopoda; Diplostraca; Sididae. The record is from RNAcentral.